UGCGUGUGCGCGCGAGCGCCGCGCCGCGCGGCUGCAGCGCUCCCCGUGCUGGGGGGGGAGGGGCGUUCCCUCAGCUCGCCCCGCCCGCACAGGGCGAGCGCGAGGCCUCCCUGCCGCCCGCCCGCAGCCGAGGGGACGCGGUACCCCCUGCGGCUGCCGCGGUCUCUCGGGAGGCGGUGCCUGCGGGCGGGGCGGGGCAGGCUAGGCUACGCCCGGCCCUGCUGACAGCGGCGCGCGCCCCUUCUCGCCGCCGUUGCCGCGAGGCGCCGCGGGGGGUGGCGCGGCGGUUGCGCGGGGGGCCGCGCCCUCCGCCCCUCCCCCCGGCCGUGAGGCGCCGGGGCGGGCUGCGCGCCUCUCGGGGUGGCCCCUUCUCCAGGACUUUCUAGGCAACAGCAAAGUGCAGUUGGCCCAGUUCUGAAAAUUUUAGCUGCUGGCAGCAGGGUUCUGAAAGCAAACUUGUGCAAGCUAGAGUUUAUCAGUGUCACACAGUAUUGCUUCACCAUGUUAUCUAUCUUACAUGGAGAUACAGUUAUAGAUAUGAUCGCCAUUCAUAAUCCACAAAGGAAGUCUUGAAAUCACUGAAAUAAAGAUCAAUAUUUAGAAGUUAAUUAAUGAAGCCAAAUCGCUGUGGUGCUACAUUGAGUCUCAGCAUGAACAGUUUGUGGUGAUGCAGACAGUGGGAGAGAAGCAACUUAUAUUGCUUAGAGCAACCCCAAUGGUGAAAGUGGGAGAACCCUGGAGAGGAUUUGUAUCACGAGGUGACCUUGAGGAAAGGAGCGAAGUGCUUGGGAGAAGAGGAGGUCUCAAGUACGUAAGUGCUCUGCCUGGUGCAUCUUCCUGAUAAGGCAGGGAUGGGAGCACCUCGUGCCGCCGAGUCAGUCGCGCAGGAAGUCCGUGGAGGGGAAGGCCUUUGACUACCUCCAGAUCAAGCCCUCCUACACUUGUUCUGAACCUCAUUUUGUGCUCUGAGCAUCAGCCAGUAUCACACCUGAUCUGAGAGACCUUCUUCAGCAUCUCUGGGGAGUUGGUCUGAGCUCAUAAUGCUGUGGGGCAUUGUCAGGGCUGAGGUGCCUUUGGAAAUGCAGACCAGGCAAACGAAGGCACUGGGAGGACUGAGGGCUGGAGAAAAGCUGAGAAGCACCUUUGAAAUGAUCAGUGGUGCCUAUAUGGAGGACUUAGGCACCUAGCCGCACUUAAGGAUCCUGCCUCCCUUCAGUUGAUAUUCUCUCUUGUAGACAGGGUUACAAAGAACAGAAAAAAAGAAAAAAAGAGAAGUGACACCACUUGCUAGGAGAAGGCGUUCAGAAGCUAUUGAUGAGCUGUGUCCAUAUUCUGCGGCAGCACAAUCUGUCUUGUGAGCAGGAAGGUAGAAGUGUUUGUGUUUGCAAUAACAGCAUGCGCAGAUGACUUGGACUCUCCACCACAGACACAUCCAAACACCAUUAUAUCUGAAAAGUGUUUCUUCUUUGCUCCUUAUUUACUGACCACUUAUCAGAUUGAGCAUUUCUCACCUCCAGCUUUGGUGCAGGCUCCCAGCAGGUUGACUACAUUCAGAUGAUGUCCUAUGUGGAUGAGGAUCUUCAGCUCAGACAUUAAAGCCUUGCACUCAUUAGUAGUUGCACAUUCUGCUUAAGAUAAACAGGACAAAAACAUAUUUACACAACAGGAUAUUUUUAACAGGACACAGCAAGAUCCUGUUUAUACUUGAAAAUGAAACCCACCCAGGUUACUUGCAGUAUCUCUGCCUUUCAGACUCCUAAACAGAUAAGAGUUCAUCCGCUUCACUGUCUGUUGUUGACCUUUAUGAAGUGAAAUAACACUUUAUCUUUUGAGUGACUCUUCCUUUCUCUAGCAUGGGUUACAGAGGGCUACUGUCCUGUAAGAGAACCCCCCUAAACAAGAUACCAGAGAGCCUUUGCAAGGACUGAAUUUUGCAAGCUUAGUAAAGGAGCAAACAACCACCCCAAACAACAAUAACAUAGAAAAAAUAUGCUCCUCCUUUUUAAGUGAUGUGUAGUUCAGCAGUACCUCUUUGCAACACCUCAGUCUAUUUUUCCACAGUACGGAGCAGCUCUCCACUGCAGGUGAUGGAGGAGUCCAACACAUCUGUAAGACGGGUCCCCACAUAUACCAGAGAACGUACAGCAGUAUGGGUUCUUGCAGAACAGUACUAAAUCUCCAUCAUCUGAGAUCUUAUCAACUCCAGAAAUACAUUUCCCAGCAAAGCAGAGGGGGCCAUAUUUGCUUGUGAACCAUGAACCCAACGCUUAAGAAAGCACUGGUUAGCCAGUUAUAAAACACUUUCAUUCUCUUUUGCUACCAAAGUGAAGGAAGGCAUCCUCAGGCCAGAAUGAAAAGGACCUAUUUGAAUUACAUAGACAUUCCCUCAUAGUUUAUCCCAUUUUCUGUGUCAUAUGUAGUUCAGAUGCUGGCCUGUUUCCACUAACAUCUUUACAAAACUUUCAUGAUCAAAAUGAAUUUUAAUACAAGGGACUGUGGCCUGUUUUCUCUGUAUAUCAUCUGUUUCUGCCUUUGCAUCAUGUAAGAUUUAAAAAUGAAGAAAUAGUUACAUAAUAAAUCAUUUGGUGUGACAAACUUAACCUCCUUAUCGGACUGCAGAAUUCUCCAUAAACAGAUUUUCCACCAACUUAUGUGUCAUAAAGAAGGGGCUAUUCCAAGAUUUCUUCAGUCAGCGGUUUUUGUACAUGGAUGUAUCUCCGUUGCCUUCAGUGGCAUUGCUUCUGAUUUAUACUGGCAUGAGCUGGGACACAUGCCUAGUAAAAUCCAAACAGAACAGCCUCUGAAAUGCUCCAGAUAACCUAGCGCAUUAAGAUACAGCCUUCAACCCGGGACAGAUACCAAGAUACUUCAUGGAAAUGACAGAUAUGCUGGAAUUACAGUAAUGCAGCCAUCUCCAGAGCUUAUUUUUUUCUUUUUUUUUUUUCUGAAUGGAUUGACUCACACUAGAGAAUCUGGUUUAUUCAGGAAAAUGCUGACUUAUGGACAUGUUAGCUGGGGAAGGCCAGGUUAGAGCAGGAGGCUGCUGUCUCCACUGGGGGUGAAAGGCAUAAAAUUAGAUGGAGGAAUUGUCAGAGUUUACGGAGUAUGUGCAGGCAGGGUAGAGCUGACGUGAGGAUCAACUGACAAACACAGCAUGGAAGUAAAUGAAAACCUGGAGCUACCCAGGGCAGUAAGUUUCUGAUGGAGAGGGGAGUGUGGAUGGAUCAGGAGCUCCUAGGAUCUUUCACGGCAGGAUCUGGAGGUGGGUAUGGGAGUGCAACAAACAGCAGGGGAGAAGGUGAUCUGAAGAUCUGUUUAGUGAUGCAGAGAAGGGAGACCAGGUCCAGAGGAGGUCCAGAAAGGCGACAAACAGAUGGAUUUUGGCACUUCAGAGAAAUGGGAGGUAGCAGAGCAGCAGGAGAGGCAGCUGGCAACAGAAGCCAAAUAGUGUGAUGUAAGAGAAGCUCCUGAAUUAUGGCAUUGCAGGGGUUAAUACAUCAUGCAGCAGCAAUACAGAGCAGUUUGAGCUAUGAAAAGACAUCCAGUGAACACCAUGUGUACCUUUGACAAAAUCCAAAGUGAACAGCUAAAAACCUGCAACCCAAGUAGUCAACGUGCUGGCUGAUGUAUUUAUUCAUAAGCUGUCUGCAGAGUCUUUGUAUGUAAAUGUAAUAUGAAAGAAUAGUCUCCGAGUUCACCCUUUCCCCACCACUGAAUGGUAAAAGCAUUCCUUAAUUUCAGUAAUUGCAAGCAAGUUGUCCCUACUUCACUCCCUUGGCAUUGCUUUCUUUCCAACCCCUUGAACUGUUCUACAUCUGGAAGGGCUGUGAUCGAAGCCUUAGAUCCAAUUUCAGACUAUCUGAUGUAAUUACAUUCUGUAAUCUGCUCCCCUCCUAACCCCACAGACCUGGAAGCUGCCAUUUUCCUCCUCUAGGAAUACAAGACUUAAUCAGCAGCACAGCACGGAGCCCGCUUGUCAUUUCCUACACAUUAACAGCCAGUGUAUAACAACUAAUUGCUCCCAUAUGGCAAACCCACUCCCUUCUGAACACAAUGAACUCGGGACUGGUUUGGAGCUGAGAACUGAAAACCUUCUUGCCGACGGGUUCCCUGAGGAGUCUUCUGAAUCUCAGAGGGAUAUGUACCUUUAAGCAUUUUAACAGCAACUGUUUUGCAGGUUGAAGAUUUAUCAAUGCCAAAAGCAGACGCUUCCACCACCUUCCCAAAAGCACCGUGACCCAGUGUUUUACCUAGAGAAGCAAGAGUCAAGAGUGAGCCAAGGGGGACUUAUGACAGUCUGCAUCAGAUAAGAGGGAGACAUGCAUUCUCAGCUAUGCAAGAAAUACAAGACUCCAAAGCCCAGGCACAGUGUAGACCGAUAGUCAAUAGAAGCCUGUAUCACAUAUUGCAGUAUAUGUAUAUGAACACUAUGGUUUAUAUCCAUAUGACUUUAAUGCAAUACAGUAUGUGAUAGAACAGAGUAGAAUAAAUAAAUCUGGAUUCAGCUGGAGGCAAGGUUGACUAUAUAUCAAUGACUUAAGAGUAAAAACAUUACAUAUAGUUAUCCCCAAGCCCAGGAAAAUCAGAGUUCACAUUGAACAUGGAAUUGUGGAAUCCUGAUCUGUCAUGAAUCACAAUCAUGGAGAUAGCUAGUCAAGGCAUUCAGGCAGUCUGAACCCUUUAACCCUUCAGUUAUUGACAUUUAUUUGACAUAAAAGCUAUAUUAAAUGGAAUUUAAGCUGAUAA
Molecule: long non-coding RNA, 4746 nt
Organism: Dromaius novaehollandiae (emu)
Lineage: Eukaryota; Metazoa; Chordata; Aves; Casuariiformes; Dromaiidae
Exons: 6
Source: RefSeq, a predicted model, not a curated record